AACGAACGCUGGCGGCAUGCCUAACACAUGCAAGUCGAACGAGACCUUCGGGUCUAGUGGCGCACGGGUGCGUAACGCGUGGGAACCUGCCCUUAGGUUCGGAAUAACUCCCCGAAAGGGGUGCUAAUACCGGAUAAUGUCUUCGGACCAAAGAUUUAUCGCCUUUGGAUGGGCCCGCGUUGGAUUAGCUAGUUGGUAGGGUAAAAGCCUACCAAGGCGACGAUCCAUAGCUGGUCUGAGAGGAUGGUCAGCCACACUGGGACUGAGACACGGCCCAGACUCCUACGGGAGGCAGCAGUGGGGAAUAUUGGACAAUGGGCGAAAGCCUGAUCCAGCAAUGCCGCGUGAGUGAUGAAGGCCUUAGGGUUGUAAAGCUCUUCUACCCGGGAUGAUAAUGACAGUACCGGGAGAAUAAGCUCCGGCUAACUCCGUG
Molecule: ribosomal RNA, 433 nt
Filed under: uncultured bacterium
Lineage: Bacteria
Description: partial 16S ribosomal RNA
Rfam family: Bacterial small subunit ribosomal RNA
Source: RNAcentral